Molecule: long non-coding RNA, 1576 nt
Organism: Papaver somniferum (opium poppy)
Lineage: Eukaryota; Viridiplantae; Streptophyta; Magnoliopsida; Ranunculales; Papaveraceae
Exons: 10
Source: RefSeq, a predicted model, not a curated record
AUUUCACCCCUUCAUCUCGAUCUGAAGAUACAACUUUGUUGCCAUUAAUCUCUUCUGCUACUGUUAAGAUAGAUGAUUCCACCUUAUAACCUAUUUUGACGGUGAUAAUGAAAACCAUACCUUUUUUUUUAUCGCCCACAUACAGCUUCUCUUCCUCUUUACUCUCUUUCUCUUCUUCUACGAUCCAACUCCACAUCCCAUAAUCCUUAUGCUUGAGCACAACUACCAUCACCGAUUCAAUCACCACUAGGACUACCUUUCUUCUUCUUAGGACUCGAUCUCUUGUUGAAUCUCUUUGGUAGAAAUCGUAGAUCCAGUAUUUCUAUUUUUUAUCUAGGGUUUCAAUUAUGGAGAUGAGCAAGAGAUUACUUUGAAUGAUCUACAGGAGGAUUCAAAUUGAAAAACAUAUGUAGUAAACCAUUUCCCAAUUUAAAGUCGUUCUUAAUCAGAUGCAGGAACUCCCAUAAGUAUUUCAAUUUGUGAACCUUCUCUCUUUGCCUUAGCAAACUGUAGAGUUUUUGAUUUUGAGAUUUCUGCGGAAGUAUAGCUACUCUCCUGAAUUCAGGGACGUAAUGUUGAGAACAUAGCUUUGGUGCACCUAAAGAUGGUAUCACCGUUGAUAAAAGCAUUGAGUUUAAGGACAGAGUUAAGAACAUUGGUGCCAGCCUUGUAAAGCAAGUAGCAAAUUCCACCAACAAUGUAGCUGGUGAUGAACACUCGUGGAUUCACUUGGCCUUCUUCGUUUGACCAGAAAAGAUAAAAGGCAGGAAACCUGAACAUUCUUGGUUGGCUAAGGGUAAUGUUCGAUUUUCAGAAAGACAAUGUUAGGCAUCACAGGGAACAGAAACCAAAUAGCCAUAUACGACAGGUACCCAAGCCUAAUCCCUUUAACAAGGUAUAUGAAUUUUUUCCUACUCACGUGGCUAGCUUUGCAAUGGUGGCGUCUUGGCCUACCUUGGUAAUGCUCUCUAGAUCUCCACGUUCAACUCAAAUGUCUAUUGGCUAUCGUGAAGCUUUCCAUUUAGUUAUCGGGGUUGCUGAACAAGGACCCAACAAUCAUGGGACGUCGAAUUGCUUUUUGGGAAAAGGAUAGAAUUAUACUAAAGUGCACAAACAGAUAUUGAGUAAGAUAAGAAGCAAAUGGAUUCAGGUUUCUAAAUCUGAUAAUUGUGAAGUCUGCUUUCAAGAGAUUAGUAAAUUCUAAGAAAUUUAUGUUUGCCUAAGGAAUUUACUGAAUUAGAUUCUUCAGUUGAUCGACAAAGCAGGAAAUUUCGUCAGUGAUGACAUUUGGUACAGUGGUGUGCAGUUUGUCACAAGCAACAAAGAUCUACAGCAGCAAAAGCUGGAGAGUAUCUCGACAAGCCCGUUAUACAUGAAACAAUGGUCAAGGUGUGCAUGUGGACCUUCUUUAUUCAAGAUUUAAGUUUGUCAAAGAGAAUGUUCGAUUAGUUGACUUUGGUUGUUACUAGUGUGUACUGAUUAAUGAUUUUUUUGGGUUGUAGUAAUGAGGUUCAAACUCUCGGACUUGUGAAGAUUAAAUUUAAAGAUUUAAUAAAAUUAUAUACAAAAUUAUUAA